GUGCUUAACACAUGCAAGUCGAACGGAGUAUCCUCCCGAGACCGAGGAAGCUUGCUUCUGAAGAAUCAUUGGAAUACUUAGUGGCGGACGGGUGAGUAACGCGUGGGUAACCUGCCUCACACAGGGGGAUAACAGUUGGAAACGACUGUUAAUACCGCAUAAGCGCACAGUACCGCAUGGUACAGUGUGAAAAACUCCGGUGGUGUGAGAUGGACCCGCGUCUGAUUAGCUAGUUGGUGAGGUAACGGCCCACCAAGGCGACGAUCAGUAGCCGGCCUGAGAGGGUGUACGGCCACAUUGGGACUGAGACACGGCCCAAACUCCUACGGGAGGCAGCAGUGGGGAAUAUUGCACAAUGGGGGAAACCCUGAUGCAGCGACGCCCGCGUGAGUGAUGAAGUAUCUCGGUAUGUAAAGCUCUAUCAGCAGGGAAGAUAAUGACGGUACCUGACUAAGAAGCACCGGCUAAAUACGUGCCAGCAGCCGC
This 486-nucleotide ribosomal RNA is filed under the name uncultured bacterium. RNAcentral's name for it is "bacterial SSU rRNA". It matches the Rfam family "Bacterial small subunit ribosomal RNA", at positions 44 to 518 of the family's 1533-position model. The record is from RNAcentral.